Molecule: ribosomal RNA, 443 nt
Filed under: uncultured bacterium
Lineage: Bacteria
Description: partial 16S ribosomal RNA
Rfam family: Bacterial small subunit ribosomal RNA
Source: RNAcentral
UGGGGAAUUUUGGACAAUGGGCGAAAGCCUGAUCCAGCAAUGCCGCGUGUGUGAAGAAGGCCUUCGGGUUGUAAAGCACUUUUGUCCGGGAAAGAAAUCCCCUGGGUUAAUACCUCGGGGGGAUGACGGUACCGGAAGAAUAAGCACCGGCUAACUACGUGCCAGCAGCCGCGGUAAUACGUAGGGUGCAAGCGUUAAUCGGAAUUACUGGGCGUAAAGCGUGCGCAGGCGGUUUUGUAAGACGGAUGUGAAAUCCCCGGGCUUAACCUGGGAACUGCAUUCGUGACUGCAAGGCUAGAGUAUGGCAGAGGGGGGUUAGAAUUCCACGUGUAGCAGUGAAAUGCGUAGAGAUGUGGAGGAAUACCGAUGGCGAAGGCAGCCCCCUGGGCCAAUACUGACGCUCAUGCACGAAAGCGUGGGGAGCAAACAGGAUUNGAUACCCU